RNAcentral lists this ribosomal RNA (236 nucleotides) under uncultured bacterium. RNAcentral's name for it is "partial 16S ribosomal RNA". It matches the Rfam family "Bacterial small subunit ribosomal RNA", at positions 118 to 350 of the family's 1533-position model. The record is from RNAcentral.
UGAGUAACCUGCCCUUAACUCUGGGAUAACUCCGGGGAAACCGGGGGCUAAUACUGGAUAUGACUCGAACAGGCAUCUGUUUCGGGUGGAAAGAUUUAUUGGUGGAGGAUGGACUCGCGGCCUAUCAGCUUGUUGGUGAGGUAAUGACUCACCAAGGCGACGACGGGUAGCUGGUCUGAGAGGAUGGCCAGCCACAUUGGGACUGAGACACGGCCCAGACCUCCGUACGGGAGGNA